UUAGGGAUUAGAGUUUGAUUCUGGGUUCAAAUUAACCGCUGGCGGCAGGCCUAACACAUGCAAGUCGAACGGUAACAUUUCUAGCUUGCUAGAAGAUGACGAGUGGCGGACGGGUGAGUAAUGCUUGGGAACUUGCCUUUGCGAGGGGGAUAACAGUUGGAAACGACUGCUAAUACCGCAUAAUGUCUUCGGACCAAACGGGGCUUCGGCUCCGGCGCAAAGAGAGGCCCAAGUGAGAUUAGCUAGUUGGUAAGGUAACGGCUUACCAAGGCGACGAUCUCUAGCUGUUCUGAGAGGAAGAUCAGCCACACUGGGACUGAGACACGGCCCAGACUCCUACGGGAGGCAGCAGUGGGGAAUAUUGCACAAUGGGGGAAACCCUGAUGCAGCCAUGCCGCGUGUGUGAAGAAGGCCUUCGGGUUGUAAAGCACUUUCAGUUGUGAGGAAAAGUUGGUAGUUAAUACCUGCCAGCCGUGACGUUAACAACAGAAGAAGCACCGGCUAACUCCGUGCCAGCAGCCGCGGUAAUACGGAGGGUGCGAGCGUUAAUCGGAAUUACUGGGCGUAAAGCGCACGCAGGCGGUUUGUUAAGCUAGAUGUGAAAGCCCCGGGCUCAACCUGGGAUGGUCAUUUAGAACUGGCAGACUAGAGUCUUGGAGAGGGGAGUGGAAUUCCAGGUGUAGCGGUGAAAUGCGUAGAUAUCUGGAGGAACAUCAGUGGCGAAGGCGACUCCCUGGCCAAAGACUGACGCUCAUGUGCGAAAGUGUGGGUAGCGAACAGGAUUAGAUACCCUGGUAGUCCACACCGUAAACGCUGUCUACUAGCUGUGUGUGAUUUUAAAUCGUGCGUAGCGAAGCUAACGCGCUAAGUAGACCGCCUGGGGAGUACGGCCGCAAGGUUAAAACUCAAAUGAAUUGACGGGGGCCCGCACAAGCGGUGGAGCAUGUGGUUUAAUUCGAUGCAACGCGAAGAACCUUACCUACACUUGACAUGCUGAGAAGUUACUAGAGAUAGUUUCGUGCCUUCGGGAACUCAGACACAGGUG
Molecule: ribosomal RNA, 1045 nt
Filed under: unidentified marine bacterioplankton
Lineage: Bacteria
Description: bacterial SSU rRNA
Rfam family: Bacterial small subunit ribosomal RNA
Source: RNAcentral